Molecule: ribosomal RNA, 548 nt
Filed under: uncultured bacterium
Lineage: Bacteria
Description: partial 16S ribosomal RNA
Rfam family: Bacterial small subunit ribosomal RNA
Source: RNAcentral
UGGGGAAUUUUGGACAAUGGGCGAAAGCCUGAUCCAGCAAUGCCGCGUGUGUGAAGAAGGCCUUCGGGUUGUAAAGCACUUUUGUCCGGGAAAGAAAUCCUUGGCUCUAAUACAGUCGGGGGAUGACGGUACCGGAAGAAUAAGCACCGGCUAACUACGUGCCAGCAGCCGCGGUAAUACGUAGGGUGCAAGCGUUAAUCGGAAUUACUGGGCGUAAAGCGUGCGCAGGCGGUUUGCUAAGACCGAUGUGAAAUCCCCGGGCUCAACCUGGGAACUGCAUUGGUGACUGGCAGGCUAGAGUAUGGCAGAGGGGGGUAGAAUUCCACGUGUAGCAGUGAAAUGCGUAGAGAUGUGGAGGAAUACCGAUGGCGAAGGCAGCCCCCUGGGCCAAUACUGACGCUCAUGCACGAAAGCGUGGGGAGCAAACAGGAUUAGAUACCCUGGUAGUCCACGCCCUAAACGAUGUCAACUAGUUGUUGGGGAUUCAUUUCCUUAGUAACGUAGCUAACGCGUGAAGUUGACCGCCUGGGGAGUACGGUCGCAAGAUU